Molecule: small nucleolar RNA, 135 nt
Filed under: Echeneis naucrates (live sharksucker)
Lineage: Eukaryota; Metazoa; Chordata; Actinopteri; Carangiformes; Echeneidae
Description: Small nucleolar RNA SNORA13 (ENSENLG00000020811.1)
Rfam family: Small nucleolar RNA SNORA13
About the family: ACA13 is a member of the H/ACA class of snoRNA that guide the sites of modification of uridines to pseudouridines.
Source: Rfam by way of RNAcentral
UGCCUUUAUUUGUUGCCUAUUCAUUGCUCUCUACAGUGAAUACGGUGUCAACAAAGGCAUACAGCAAUUCUUGUAUCGGCCUUAGCAAGGUUUCUCUCUGGUUACCUUGUUCUAAGUUCUGUACCAAGUACAACU